AUUAAAUAUAAAAUUUAAUUUUAAAGAAUUGGUACUAUUUAAUAUAUAUUCCACCAUAUUGUAUAUAUGGUAAAGUCAGCCAUUUUUGUGAAAUCCGUCUUUUCUUGAUAAUUGAACAUGAAGAUCGGGCUUUGUGCAUACAGUGGAUAUAAAAUAUAUCCCGGUCAUGGUAAAACCAUGGUAAAAGUGGAUGGAAAAACAUUCACUUUCUUGAAUUCAAAAUGUGAAUCUGCACAUUUAAUGAGGCGUAAUCCAAGAAAAGUCACGUGGACUGUAUUAUAUAGACGAAAACAUAAAAAAGGACAAGAAGAAGAACAAGCAAAAAAAAGAACAAGACGUACUCAAAAAUUUCAACGUGCUAUUGUAGGUGCAUCUCUUACAGAUAUUUUAGCAAAACGUAAUAUGAAACCAGAAAUUCGUAAAGCACAGAGAGAACAAGCAAUUAAAAUGUCUUAGAAUAAAUGAAUUGCUUCACCCAGAAUUGUUAUAUUCAUUACACUGUCUGGCUUUUGCGGAGCUGCAAAGGAACAAAAGAAAGCUGCAAAAGCAACAAAGAAAGCAGUUGUACCUCCUAAAACAAAGGCUAUUCCAAAACAUAAAGCUGCAAAAAUAACACAAAAAUCAGCUCCACGUGUUGGAGG
Apis dorsata (giant honeybee) is the source of this 641-nucleotide RNA transcript. It is a transcript of the gene named 60S ribosomal protein L24, with no coding region annotated. NCBI's taxonomy places the organism in Eukaryota, Metazoa, Arthropoda, Insecta, Hymenoptera, Apidae. The record is from RefSeq and is a predicted model, not a curated record. The transcript has 6 exons.